AUUAUUAUUAGCUCCCUCGAGGUAAUCAUGCUCCGUGUUUCUAAAAUUGCAAAAGUCAAUCAUGAUCGGUCCAUUCAGCCUUCAACAUUGCAAAAGUCACACCCGCGAUUCUAAAGUUGGCAUGAAUUCUCUCCCGGCCAAUAAGUUUGGGGGAGAGAUUAAGCAGCAUUAAAGUUCCUCAAUCGGAGAUUAAGAGAAAUAAUGUAGGAACGAUAGUCGUGAGAGAUGUAGGCGAUCAGGUGGAGAAACCCAGGAGAAAAACAUAGAAUUGUACAAAAAUAGUGUUACAACGAAUCUCCUUCUCCCCGCCGUCGGCCGCCUUCUUCUCCAUCUGACUCUCCACUCUCUUCGCUCACUCACCAAACGAAUCUCCUCGUUCCCCCAGGCGAGAGAGAGAGAGAGAGAGAGAGAGAGAGAGAGUACNNNNNNNNNNNNNNNNNNNNAGAGAGAGAGAGAGAGAGAGAGAGAGAGACUUGGGGUUUUUGCUACAGUGGGGAGCCAUGGCGGCGUGAUGAAGCAACCAAGCUGGACUAGCCCCUCAGCGUCUGGAUGAUGGUGUUGUGCCAUGGGUCGGCCAGGUGCUGUGCCAGGUUCUCGAAGGGGCCCUUCCCCGUCACGUUGUGCUGGACAACAAAGCCUAAGAACGCCAGCAUCGCCAGUCUCCCUGCAACGAGUUGCCGAAAACAGAACAAACCCAAGUUCUUGAGAAAGCUCUAACAGGAGAGGGAGGAAGAGGGAGAGGGAGACGAAGCUCUCGAGGAUUAUCACCGUUAG
RNAcentral lists this long non-coding RNA (774 nucleotides) under Spirodela polyrhiza (greater duckweed). RNAcentral describes it as "long non-coding RNA (SPOL_LNC001235)". The record is from RNAcentral. Lineage: Eukaryota; Viridiplantae; Streptophyta; Magnoliopsida; Alismatales; Araceae.